Non-coding RNA from Neomonachus schauinslandi (Hawaiian monk seal), 73 nucleotides. The record is from the annotation of a RefSeq genome assembly. NCBI's taxonomy places the organism in Eukaryota, Metazoa, Chordata, Mammalia, Carnivora, Phocidae.
GCCUGUCUGGCUCAGUCAGUAGAGCGUGUGACUGUUGAUCUCAGGGUCACGAGUUCGAGCCCCGUGUUGGGUG